CCUUCUUGACUGCACUUGCCAGAGUAGAGCUUCUGUCCCGUGAAACUGGAGGUCCAUGGCUCAAGGGCCACAGACUGCCAUUCUUCUUAUUAACAUGUGGAUUUUCCUGAAUGUUUCUCCAUUUGCUGCAUGCCUUUAGGAAUACAGUUUAGGAUACGUAUAACAUACAACAGCUGUGUGCAUCGAUUAUUUAUGCCACCGGGAAGGCUUCUGGUCACCAGCAGGCUACUAGCUGUGAUCAAGUCUGAGUCUACUGAGAACGAACGUCUGUUGAGCAUGCGGGGAGGACAGAGGAUGGGGUAUGCCUCUCGACUCACUACUCCAUGAGCACCCAGCAACCAGGCCAGCGCCUGGCACACAGCAGGGCACAAUGCUCUUGUGGACGAAGUCAGCAACGGGACACCAGUCAAUGCUGCUCAUUGCCAGGUGGUGAGCUCAGGCACCAUGCAUCCCUGCAAGUUCUUCCUCCUACUGGACAUUUUUAUUGAUGUUUCUACUCUGGAAAUGGAUCGAGAGAGAGAGGGCGAAGCUUCCAGAGGGUGCGUGGAGGGACUGCAUUGCAGGAAGAGUAAUGACAUCAGCUGAGCUGGAACUGUUGUCAGAAGGUAUACAAAGUGCUGGAGAUACAGAGAUGAAUACAAUACAGGCAUUCCCUGAAGGAGUGAUGUCUUGGGAAUAGAAGGAGGAGGCUGGUGAGCUGGCCAGCCCAAGAGUGCCAGGUACUGGGCCUGUCCUUCCCAGAAGGGCACCUUCUGGGCCGCAGGGGCUUGCCUAAAAAAGGCCAGAUUUGCAAAAGAGGUCUCCCUCAAGCAUUGUCUCCAAAGCUCCCCUUAUUCAGCUACCGACUUCAAUCCGACCCAGAGGUGCCAUAUCCCUCUUCCUCAAGACCCAAUUGAGGGUAUCAACCUGUAUCAACCCUGCUUUAUAAGACUUUUCGGAUGUCAUCAGUUCUUAAAGAGAAAUCCGCAAAUAUUCCCAAAUCCUUCCCAGAACACGAGCAGCUGGGUCUGCAAGUUAGCCUCUGCUGAAACCAUGUCUGUCUUUAAAUGACCCAGGUGGGAAAUUCCAUUGCUUAUCAAGUCUUUUUGGACAGAAUUCAGAAAAUCAGUCUGUUGUAUGUAGGCUCUUUUCAAAGAAUGUAUUUUAAAAUGCACUGUUUUCAUGACACCAUGCAACACUGUGACCACCUGUGUCCCCCACCAAACCAGUGAAGGUAGGCCUAUUGCUGGGGCCUCACCCCCAGGUGAUAAACACAGUCAGCCGCUUGAUUAAUACUUGUGGAAUGAAUGAACAAAUGGAUGGAGAGUACAAACAUGUGGGCAAAAAUCAAGAAUGAAAAUGAGGAAUGUUUUGUGUGAACAAUUCCCUUUGCAUACCAAACCCAAAAUGUAAUGUGGUUUGGCAUCUGAUGCUAGAAAUUUUAAUAGCAGACCGCGGGCUUCAUUCUUUCUCCUCUGUCUCUGGCCUCUCUUCCCCCUUCCAGAUAAACUGCUGCUUCCACAGCGGGUAGAAUUUUACUUAUUGUGUUUGGACUCUACACUCAUGUGAACACACAGAUGCACAGCCCAGGACAGGUCAAGAAGCAAAAACCAACCAGGAGACACUUCCCAGCAUCUCUGUGAAGAAUGUGCUAGAUCUCCUGCUAUAGGCUCCAGACACCAGGGAAAGGCCCUGGAUGUUCUCCACAGAUGCAGCUUGCCUAUAAAUCCAAGAUCCUUUGUCCAAGAGCAGCAGCUCUCACACCUCCAAUAAUAGCUAGAGAACAUCCCGCACCAGUAGGCUUUCCUAUGGACAGAAGUAUUGACACACAAAUGUGGCUCACCUCUAACACGCUUUACCAAUCUAGCUGAACUGUUUCUUUUAAAUAAAAAUUCUGAGGAAAAAAAGAGAGAUGCAAAUUCAAGGAGUUUGCUAUUUGAAAGAACAUAAUUAUGUAUUUAGAAUCAAUUUGAAGUUCAUUUUUCAAAAUUUUAUCUAUUUAUUGACAAGAGAGAGCAUGAGUGGGGGAGGGGCAGACGGAGAGGAAAAAGCAGACUCCCUGCUGAGUAGAGAGCCCAAUGUGGGGCUUGAUCCCAGGCCCCGAGAUCAUGACCUGAGCCAAAGGCAGAUGCUUAACUGACUGAGCUGCCCAGGUGCCCCUGAAAUUGAUUUUUAGAGGGUUGGUAAGGUGUAAGAUUGACUAGGCCUAUCACUAUGUGAUAUAGGUCUGGAUUAAUUUAAUGAGACUUUACCGAGUACAUGGGCAGGGGUCAGGGAUGUUUUAUAAUUUGGUACAGAAACAGGUAACUUUCAAAAACUUAAAAAAAAAAAUCUUGAUUUUUCUCUGAUAAUUUUAAGAAAACAUUUUGUGUUAGGGGUGCCGGCGGCUCAGUCUAUUGGGUAGCUAGCUCUUGAUUUCGCCUGAGGUCAUGAUCUCUGGGUCCUGGGACUGAGGCCCAUGUCAGGGUUCUGCACUCAGCAGGGAGUCUGACUGGGGAUUCUCUCUCCCUCUCCUUCUGCUCCUCCCCUGCUCAAGCAUCCAGCCCUCCACCCCCUGCCCUGCAGCUUUCUGAAAUAAAUAAAUUGAUCUUUGGGGAAAUAAGAAAGGAAAUGUUUUAUGUGACAGACAAUGCUUGACUAAGGUAAACCACUAUCUUCUGGGUUAUCUUUGCAAUACUGAAUAAAGAAAAGAAAU
This is a long non-coding RNA of Canis lupus familiaris (dog), 2674 nucleotides long. RefSeq lists it as uncharacterized. The record is from RefSeq and is a predicted model, not a curated record. The transcript has 7 exons. NCBI's taxonomy places the organism in Eukaryota, Metazoa, Chordata, Mammalia, Carnivora, Canidae.